AAAUUGGGUUACGUUCAUCAUAAAAUGAUUUGAAGGAGGCAUAAUAAAUUCAACAACAUAUUUAAGUUCAUCAUAUAUAAAUCAAUCCACUUCUUAUGAUCAACUUCUCUACAAAGUUUUAUUUUAAAAUAAAGAAAAUAAAAAAAAACAUAUAAAAGGACAAAGAGUCUCUAGUUGUAAGUUCUGAUCUUCCCACUCAGUCUUCUCAUGUUAUUUCCAUGGUUCGGUUCUG
Molecule: long non-coding RNA, 232 nt
Filed under: Capsella rubella
Lineage: Eukaryota; Viridiplantae; Streptophyta; Magnoliopsida; Brassicales; Brassicaceae
Description: long non-coding RNA (CRUB_LNC003698)
Source: RNAcentral